RNAcentral lists this ribosomal RNA (253 nucleotides) under uncultured bacterium. RNAcentral describes it as "partial 16S ribosomal RNA". It matches the Rfam family "Bacterial small subunit ribosomal RNA", at positions 524 to 776 of the family's 1533-position model. RNAcentral also lists the same sequence under 1 other name. The record is from RNAcentral.
UACAGAGGGUGCAAGCGUUAAUCGGAAUUACUGGGCGUAAAGCGCGCGUAGGUGGUUGUGUAAGUUGGAUGUGAAAGCCCCGGGCUUAACCUGGGAACUGCAUUCAAAACUGCACGGCUAGAGUACGGGAGAGGGGGGUAGAAUUCCAGGUGUAGCGGUGAAAUGCGUAGAGAUCUGGAGGAAUACCGAUGGCGAAGGCAGCCCCCUGGCCUGAUACUGACACUGAGGUGCGAAAGCAUGGGGAGCAAACAGG